GACGAACGCUGGCGGCGUGCUUAACACAUGCAAGUCGUACGGUAAGGCCCUUUCGGGGGUACACGAGUGGCGAACGGGUGAGUAACACGUGAGUAACCUGCCCACAACUUUGGGAUAACGCUAGGAAACUGGUGCUAAUACUGGAUAUGUGCUCCUGCUGCAUGGUGGGGGUUGGAAAGCUCCGGCGGUUGUGGAUGGACUCGCGGCCUAUCAGCUUGUUGGUGGGGUAGUGGCCUACCAAGGCGGCGACGGGUAGCCGGCCUGAGAGGGUGACCGGCCACAUUGGGACUGAGAUACGGCCCAGACUCCUACGGGAGGCAGCAGUGGGGAAUAUUGCACAAUGGGCGCAAGCCUGAUGCAGCAACGCCGCGUGCGGGAUGACGGCCUUCGGGUUGUAAACCGCUUUCAGCAGGGACGAAGCUUUUUGUGACGGUACCUCCAGAAGAAGCACCGGCUAACUACGUG
This 465-nucleotide ribosomal RNA is filed under the name uncultured bacterium. Its description in RNAcentral is "partial 16S ribosomal RNA". It matches the Rfam family "Bacterial small subunit ribosomal RNA", at positions 28 to 507 of the family's 1533-position model. The record is from RNAcentral.